CUGAGUGGAAGCAACAGCAAAGAGCUUUAAUCAGGAUCACACAACAAUAAUGAAUGGAAACACGUCGUAGCCAAGAAAGUUGAGCAGCAACUAAAAGUAACUGUUUGUCGGCUUUUGAAAAGUUAUCUGCUGUAAGUGAUGGAUUGGCCAGGCGAAUUAGAAAGUACUUUGUGGAAGAGAAAGCAGCUGUACUUUUAUUGUUACUUUUGAAAGUGAAGUUUUGAAGGGAAACUACAGUGGGACACACUGUAAACCUUAAACGCGUGAGUAAGUGUAAAUGGCAUUUUGGGACAUUAAUACGAGGCUACUGCACUGUCAGCUGUUUUUGUUUUGGAGUGGAUUAUUUGGAUUAAUCCGUUAAUGAAAUUGUUGGAUUAUUUUUUAUUUUACUUGGAUUUAUCAUCACUGAAAGAAGCCGAAGGAUUGCGAGUUUUUUUUAUUUUUUAUUUUUUUAUCUAACUUGAGGAUACAACACAUCUGGGUGGAAAAAUGGGUAAUAUAGAAAGUGUGGACGGACAGUCGGAGAUGAAGCAUCACAUCAUGCCUCUGAAGGUGCCCAUGCCUGAUCCCACCGAGCUGGAGGAGAAAUUUGCCAUUGUUUUGAAUUCUAUGAACUUGCCUCCAGACAAAGCCCGGCUCCUCAGACAGUACGACAAUGAGAAGAAGUGGGACCUGAUCUGCGACCAGGAGAGGUUUCAGGUGAAGAAUCCGCCUCACACCUACAUCCAGAAGCUACGAGGAUACUUAGAUCCUGGAGUCACGCGAAAGAAGUUUCGCAGGCGGGUACAGGAAUCUACAAAAGUCUUGAGGGAGCUGGAGAUAUCGUUGAGGACAAACCACAUUGGGUGGGUCAGGGAGUUCCUCAAUGAUGAGAACAGAGGUCUUGACGUCCUGGUGGAGUACCUCUCCUUUGCCCAGUGUGCUGUCAUGUUGGAUUUUGAGGGUCUGGAGAAUGGGGAAGAAGGAUUCUUGGAUAAAACUAAAUCUUGGAGCAGGUCCAUAGAGGAUCUGCACCAUACAGGCACCCAACCGUUCUGCAAUACACUGGUGCGCUCUGCCCGCCAGUCUGUCCUCCGCUAUGGCUCAGUUUCGAACAGCAAAACCAUCAAGAACUCCCGCCUCGUCAGCCAAAAAGAUGAUGUGCAUGUGUGCAUCAUGUGCUUGAGAGCAAUCAUGAACUAUCAGUAUGGCUUCAAUAUGGUCAUGUCCCACGCACAUGCAGUCAAUGAAAUUGCUCUCAGCUUGAACAAUAAGAACUCAAGAACAAAAGCCUUGGUCCUUGAGUUGCUGGCUGCCGUCUGUCUAGUCCGAGGAGGUCAUGAGAUCAUCCUCUCAGCGUUUGACAACUUCAAGGAGGUGUGUAAAGAGAAGCAUCGCUUUGAGAGACUGAUGGAUUACUUCCGCUGUGAGGAGGGAAACAUUGACUACAUGGUUGCUUGCAUGCAGUUCAUCAACAUUGUGGUCCACUCAGUUGAGGACAUGAAUUUCAGGGUCCAUCUGCAGUAUGAAUUCACAAAGCUGGGACUGGAUGAUUACCUGGAGAAAUGCAAACAUACAGAGAGUGACAAGCUGUCGGUGCAGAUCCAGGCCUACCUGGAUAACGUGUUUGACGUGGGUGGUCUGUUGGAAGAUGCGGAGACGAAGAAUGCAGCCCUGGAGAAGGUGGAGGAACUGGAGGAGCACCUGUCCCAUGUGACGGAGAAGCUGCUGGAGGUUGAGAAUGAAACAAUGAUGAAAGUAGCUGAUCUGGAGAAGGUGCUCCUUCAGAAAGAUAAGGACCUGCAAGUAAUACGGGAGACAUACGAGUCAACCAACACCCAGGUCAACACCCUGAGGAGGGUCAUCAAGGAGAAGGAUGCUGCCUUCCAGAGGCACUUCAACAUCGAGAGGCGGCUGCUGGAGCUCGAACAGCAGGGCACCAUUCGUUUGCACAAGAAACCUGAUGGAGACAUUUCCAUCGAGCCCCUGGGAGUCGGGGGUGUGGGUGGUGUUGGGGGCAGCGGCCUUGGGAUCCCGCUGGGUGACAUUGGGCAGCUGUCUUUGGGUUUAACAGCUGGGUUAACAGAACCUGGAGGAACAGACACCAGUUUACCACCAGCCAGUGAAGCUCCUCCGCCUCCUCCACCACCUCCACCACCUCCCCCUCCUCUUCCGUCUGCCGCAGGCCCGAAUGCACCAGCCCCACCACCGCCACCUCCUCUCGCUCCACCACUGCCAGAUGCUUCUCCUUCUGUUAUCCUGAGUUUGGGUCUCUCAGCUAUCAGAAUCAAGAAGCCCAUCAAGACCAAGUUCCGCCUGCCUGUGUUUAACUGGACGGCUUUGAAGCCCAACCAGAUCAAUGGCACAGUCUUCAAUGAGAUUGAUGACGAACGUGUACUAGAGGAACUGGAUCUGGAGAAAUUUGAGGAGCUGUUCAAGACCAGAGCCCAAGGUCCAAUUGUGGAUCUUUCUUGCACAAAGAGCAAAGUAGCUCAGAAGGCGGUGAACAAAGUCACCCUUCUGGACGCAAAUCGCUCCAAGAACUUAGCCAUCACACUGCGCAAGGCUAACAAGACCACAGAAGAGAUCUGCAAAGCAAUAGAGAAGUUUGACCUCAAGGCCUUACCUGUCGACUUUGUGGAGUGCCUGAUGCGUUUUCUGCCCACGGAUGCGGAGGUGAAGGUCAUGCGUCAGUACGAGCGCGAGCGUCGUCCACUGGAUCAGCUAGCAGAGGAAGAUCGCUUCAUGUUAUUAUUCAGCAAGAUUGAGAGGCUCACGCAGAGAAUGAACAUCAUCACCUUUGUUGGGAACUUUUCUGACAACAUCAGCCUGCUCACGCCGCAGCUCAAUGCAAUCAUUGCUGCUUCUGGCUCAGUGAAAUCUGCUCCAAAGUUGAAAAAAAUGCUUGAGAUCAUCUUAGCCUUGGGAAACUACAUGAACAGCAGCAAGCGUGGCUGUGUUUAUGGCUUCAAAUUACAAAGUCUUGACCUGCUUCUUGACACUAAGUCUACAGACAGGAAGAUGACAUUGCUCCACUACAUAGCUCUCAUUGUGAAAGAGAAGUACCCUGAACUGGCCAACUUCUACAAUGAACUGCACUUUGUAGAUAAAGCUGCAGCAGUAUCUUUGGAAAAUGUGCUGCUGGAUGUUCGGGAGCUGGGGAAAGGCAUGGACCUGAUCCGGAGAGAGUGCAGUCUCCAUGACCAUUCAGUCCUGAAAGGCUUCAUCCAGGCCAGUGACACACAGUUGGACAAGCUUCAGAAAGAUGCCAAGACAGCAGAGGAAGCCUUCAACAAUGUGGUGAACUACUUCGGAGAGAGUGCCAAGACGACUCCACCCUCAGUGUUCUUCCCUGUGUUUGUGCGAUUCAUCAAGGCCUACAAGGAUGCAGUGGAAGAAAAUGAACAAAGGAAAAAGCAGGAGCAAGCAAUGAGAGAGAAGCUACUGGCUCAGGAGGCUAAACAGCAUGACCCCAAGGUCCAGGCCCAAAAGAAGAGGCAUCAGCAGCAGGAACUGAUCGCAGAACUGCGCAAGCGGCAAGCUAAAGAUCACCGGCCUGUGUACGAAGGAAAGGAUGGCACUAUUGAGGACAUCAUAACAGUACUGAAGAGCGUGCCCUUCACAGCCCGCACUGCUAAACGCGGCUCACGGUUCUUCUGUGAAGCCAACCUCUGUGACGACGCCAACUGCUAGCCCUUCCCCCCUAAUGCCAAGCUGAAAAGAAGAUUAAUGACAGUAUUUCCCACUCCUAAUAGAGGAUCUCCGAAACCAGCCUUUCCUGCGAGCUGACGCGUUGAUCCGGAGCGGUUGGAAGAGACCCUAAACCACUUAUUCGUCACUUAUACUCCCCCCUCCUUCCUAUUAUAACCUUCCUCCCUGUGUCCCGAUGGUCUGUCUCAACCCUGAGGCUGCAGAUCACAAAGACUGAAAAGAGGGACAGGACAGAGCCCUUGUUUUAGCUGGGUAAUUUAUUUAUUUAUGGAGGCCCUUUUACAGCCACUUUAAGUGAGCAGGCAUCAUUACAGAAGCACAAUGGGUCACUCCUGUCUCACUGCAAACACAAGACUUUCCCUGCUCUGUUGCCAUUGAGAAGGAGACAAGUUGGCAGACGACUACAAGACAGGUGAGGUCAGUCGAGGACUGGCGGACCACAAUGCAGGAAGAACUGUGCUUUCACUGGCAAGUGCCUGCCAACAUGUGGAUCUUAUUCCCAAGACCGUUAAUUUCCUCAGAUUAUGCAGUCGUAGCAGGACUUAGACUGGGUGGCAGCCAAGGGAAGAUACCAACUCUGCUGCUGGGAUGUUUGCCUUGAAGACACUUGCAAAACCUUCCUCCAAAUAACUGAGACGCUUCAAUAUUAUAAU
Larimichthys crocea (large yellow croaker) is the source of this 4343-nucleotide RNA transcript. It is a transcript of the gene named formin-like 3, with no coding region annotated. The record is from RefSeq and is a predicted model, not a curated record. Lineage: Eukaryota; Metazoa; Chordata; Actinopteri; Sciaenidae. The transcript is spliced from 27 exons.